This 286-nucleotide long non-coding RNA is filed under the name Elaeis guineensis (African oil palm). RNAcentral's name for it is "long non-coding RNA (EGUI_LNC031093)". The record is from RNAcentral. Lineage: Eukaryota; Viridiplantae; Streptophyta; Magnoliopsida; Arecales; Arecaceae.
UUGUUUCUCUAGUUUUACUAGUAGCUUUUCCUCUUCUUAUGUCUUCUGACGGUGGUGAGGUCAAGGGCAAAAAUCCUCGUGGUGGCCAAGAUUCUCAGUUGACACCUCCUUGGACCAUGUCCAAGGACACUCCUUGGACCACCACCAAGGCCGGCUCCUCCGCUGGGUGCCAAACCUUUGAAUCCCAAAGCAUGGGUAGCCCUAUGCAUAGGUUUGGAGAUUUCUAAGGACCCAAGUAAUGAAGAAUCGAGCGUUACUGAGGACGACCUUGAAAGAUUUCAUUCUC